Molecule: long non-coding RNA, 380 nt
Organism: Cygnus atratus (black swan)
Lineage: Eukaryota; Metazoa; Chordata; Aves; Anseriformes; Anatidae
Exons: 5
Source: RefSeq, a predicted model, not a curated record
AGUGAAGGGCUUAGGGCAUUUGCCGGAGAGGGGACACACAUGGGUGCAGCAUGGACCAAAGCAUGUCAGCAAGGUGGAAGAGUGUCAGCAGGAGAAUGUGAAAUAACCAAAGACAACAUGUGAUUGAGAGCAGCUAACAGCAGUGGUCUGGCACCCAGAGAGGUUUAAAGACAGUCUCCAUAGUGCUGUGGUCUUACAGGUGAAACACAAAUGGUGGGCACAGGGCUCACUGACACCUGACUGAUGCCCAGGAGAAGCCUAAAAUCUGUGCUAGAUGACAAAUAAACGGGAACAUAUUUCCCUGGGUAGUUUCCUAAACAAGUGCAGCAUCAGUAGUCACACAUGAUUGAGAAGCUACCAUGUUUAGUGGAAGGAGCCUC